CUGAGGUUAAACAAAUCCAUCCGCAGGCGGAUGAAUCAGAUAGAGCUCGGGUCCACCAGGCGGAGAAGGUUCUGGCGGAUCAAGAUCAAACCCAAGCUUAAAAUUCUUAAAAUAUCUUCUCCUAAGAAGUUUUUCGUUUGGUUACGCGACGCCUAUGUCAAGAUGAUGCUGGGAUUCGCUAACUCCCGGGUGAUUGGACCAGGAGGCUACGGUGCUGGAGUACCGAAUGGAAUCCCCGCCUUCGGGAAAGGCCCACUCAAGGAGUACGAUGAUAAGAUGAUCAUUGAGAUCUAUAAGUCGUUGGUGAUGGCGCAAAGCCAAUUAGUUCCCCGCGACACAAACAAGCUUGCCCCCAUAUCUAGACUCGCUGCAAUUGUAGAAUAGUGAGUAUGGCCUUCACGGGCAACAAUAAAAUUCGGGUCACCUAUCAAAAA
RNAcentral lists this unclassified non-coding RNA (434 nucleotides) under Hevea brasiliensis (rubber tree). Lineage: Eukaryota; Viridiplantae; Streptophyta; Magnoliopsida; Malpighiales; Euphorbiaceae. The record is from RNAcentral.